This 300-nucleotide long non-coding RNA is filed under the name Elaeis guineensis (African oil palm). RNAcentral describes it as "long non-coding RNA (EGUI_LNC047783)". The record is from RNAcentral. Lineage: Eukaryota; Viridiplantae; Streptophyta; Magnoliopsida; Arecales; Arecaceae.
CUGAUGUAAGAUAUCACAUCAUCAUAUCUCAUCCCUUGAUUGAUUGUGUAUGCGAAGCCAAUUGGAUUGGAGUUCAUCCUACUUUCCUGCAGCGUCUAACAUGCAUGCGAAGUAGAGGAUCUGCAUAUCCAGACCUUUGUGAAGGUUUAUAUCAGAUAAUUUAGGAUUUGAUCUCUGGUUCUACUAUAAUUCAGGUAAGAAUUUGAUUCUUAAACAAGUAGAAUAUUAGAAAAAAUUUUUAGAUACAACCUGGGCAUUCUGGAGGGAAACUGUUUCCUUCCCUUCAACUGGUAUCAAAGC